RNAcentral lists this ribosomal RNA (133 nucleotides) under Cletomorpha benita. RNAcentral describes it as "partial small subunit ribosomal RNA". The record is from RNAcentral. Lineage: Eukaryota; Metazoa; Arthropoda; Insecta; Hemiptera; Coreidae.
UAUAUCCCAUUUUUAAUAUAAGGUUGAUUUUGCCUUUAAUUUAAAUUAGUUAUUUUAUAAUAAUAAAUAUAAGUUUUUGCGAGUUAGUAAUUUAUCUAAAUGAUAAAUUGAUUUAUUUGUAGUUUUUAAUUUU